UAUAUAUAUAUAUAUAUAUAUAUAGGCUGGGGCUACUAUACUCAUAUGAGUAUAGAGCCUAUUGUACUCAUAAGUUUUCAACCGUUCAGAUGAAAAAAUGUAUGGUUAGGAUGAAGUGAUUAUGGUUAGGUUGAUAGUGGGCCCCCUAGGGUUGAGUGGGUGGUUGGUUGAAUAGUAUAAUCUAACGGGUGAAAAUGAUUAAAGGGUAGAUCUAACAGCCAAAAAUUUAUGAGUACAAUAGGCUCUAUACUCAUAAAAGUAUAGUAGCCGGACUCUAUAUAUAUAUAUAUAUAUAUAUAUAUAUAUAAUUGAGCUAGAAUAUUUUUAGAAGUAUCAUCUCAUUGGUACUUCUAAGUUUCUAAUCCUUGGAUCUAUUUCUUGAUUAUUAAUAGCCUUUGAAUCAAAUACUAUUCUACUUAUCACCACUACCAUCAUCAUCUUAAUUUUAUAUCUCUCCAUUUAAAAACUAAAAACUCAAAAGUACCAACCCAUUAGUAUUUUUGGGUUAUAUAUAGAGAGAGAGAGAGAGUA
This 531-nucleotide long non-coding RNA is filed under the name Ananas comosus (pineapple). Its description in RNAcentral is "long non-coding RNA (ACOM_LNC011008)". The record is from RNAcentral. Lineage: Eukaryota; Viridiplantae; Streptophyta; Magnoliopsida; Poales; Bromeliaceae.